UAGGGAAUCUUCGGCAAUGGGGGCAACCCUGACCGAGCAACGCCGCGUGAGUGAAGAAGGUUUUCGGAUCGUAAAGCUCUGUUGUAAGAGAAGAACGUGUAUGAGAGUGGAAAGUUCACACAGUGACGGUAACUUACCAGAAAGGGACGGCUAACUACGUGCCAGCAGCCGCGGUAAUACGUAGGUCCCGAGCGUUGUCCGGAUUUAUUGGGCGUAAAGCGAGGGCAGGCGGUUUAAUAAGUCUGAAGUUAAAGGCAGUGGCUUAACCAUUGUUCGCUUUGGAAACUGUUAAACUUGAGUGCAGAAGGGGAGAGUGGAAUUCCAUGUGUAGCGGUGAAAUGCGUAGAUAUAUGGAGGAACACCGGUGGCGAAAGCGGCUCUCUGGUCUGUAACUGACGCUGAGGCUCGAAAGCGUGGGGAGCAAACAGG
This 429-nucleotide ribosomal RNA is filed under the name bacterium. RNAcentral's name for it is "partial 16S ribosomal RNA". It matches the Rfam family "Bacterial small subunit ribosomal RNA", at positions 355 to 776 of the family's 1533-position model. The record is from RNAcentral.